RNAcentral lists this ribosomal RNA (119 nucleotides) under Brachypodium distachyon (stiff brome). The record is from RNAcentral. Lineage: Eukaryota; Viridiplantae; Streptophyta; Magnoliopsida; Poales; Poaceae.
GGAUGCGGUCAUACCAGCACUAAAGUCCCGGAUCCCAUCAGAACUCCGAAGUUAAGCGUGCUUGGGCGAGAGUAGUACUAGGAUGGGUGACCUCCUAGGAAGUCCUCGUGUUGCAUUCU